RNAcentral lists this ribosomal RNA (392 nucleotides) under uncultured fungus. Its description in RNAcentral is "SSU rRNA". It matches the Rfam family "Eukaryotic small subunit ribosomal RNA", at positions 556 to 962 of the family's 1831-position model. Lineage: Eukaryota; Fungi. The record is from RNAcentral.
UAAGUCUGGUGCCAGCAGCCGCGGUAAUUCCAGCUCCAAUAGCGUAUAUUAAAGUUGUUGCAGUUAAAAAGCUCGUAGUUGGACCUUGGGCCUGGACGGGCGGUCCGCCUCACGGCGUGUACUGUCUUGCCGGGCCUUUCCUCUUGGUGAUCUGUUGUUUCGGCAGCAGGGAACCAGGACCUUUACUUUGAAAAAAUUAGAGUGUUCAAAGCAGGCUCGACGCCGGAAUAUAUUAGCAUGGAAUAAUAAAAUAGGACGUGCGGUUCUAUUUUGUUGGUUUUUGGAAUCGCCGUAAUGAUUAAUAGGGACAGUCGGGGGCAUUAGUACUCACAUGCUAGAGGUGAAAUUCUUGGAUUUUGUGAAGACUAACUUCUGCGAAAGCAUUUGCCAAA